Molecule: ribosomal RNA, 800 nt
Filed under: uncultured bacterium
Lineage: Bacteria
Description: bacterial SSU rRNA
Rfam family: Bacterial small subunit ribosomal RNA
Source: RNAcentral
AGAGUUUGAUCAUGGCUCAGAACGAACGCUGGCGGCGUGGAUAAGACAUGCAAGUCGAACGGGGGGACAACUAGCUUGCUAGGGAGUUCUCCAGUGGCGCACGGGUGAGUAACACGUGAGUGACCUACCCCUGAGAGAGGGAUAGCCCUGGGAAACCGGGAGUAAUACCGCAUAAGAUCGAGAGAUGAAAGCAGAGAUGCGCUCAGGGAGGGGCUCGCGGCCUAUUAGUUAGUUGGUGAGGUAACGGCUCACCAAGGCGAUGACGGGUAGCCGGUCUGAGAGGAUGUCCGGCCACACUGGAACUGAGACACGGUCCAGACACCUACGGGUGGCAGCAGUCGAGGAUCAUUCACAAUGGGGGGAACCCUGAUGGUGCGACGCCGCGUGGGGGAGAGAAGGUCUUAGGAUUGUAAACCCCUGUCAUGUGGGAGCAAAGUAAGAAGAUAGUACCACAAGAGGAAGAGACGGCAAACUCUGUGCCAGCAGCCGCGGUAAUACAGAGGUCUCGAGCGUUGUUCGGAAUCACUGGGCGUAAAGGGUGCGUAGGCGGUUUUUGCAAGUCGUGUGUGAAAAGGCAGGGGCUCAACCUCUGGAGGGCACAUGAGACUGCGAAGCUGGGAGUCAUGGAGGGGGAACCGGAAUUCUCGGUGUAGCAGUGAAAUGCAUAGAUAUCGAGAGGAAGACUCGGAGCGAAGCGGGUUCCUGGACAUAGACUGACGCUAAGGCACGAAGGCCAGGGGAGCCAAAGGAUUUAGAUACCCCUGUAGCCCUGGGAGAAACGGGGCACGCUUGGGGGGCGG